GACGAACGCUGGCGGCGUGCUUAACACAUGCAAGUCGAACGGAAAGGCCCUGCUUUUGUGGGGUGCUCGAGUGGCGAACGGGUGAGUAACACGUGAGUAACCUGCCCUUGACUUUGGGAUAACUUCAGGAAACUGGGGCUAAUACCGGAUAGGAGCUCCUGCUGCAUGGUGGGGGUUGGAAAGUUUCGGCGGUUGGGGAUGGACUCGCGGCUUAUCAGCUUGUUGGUGGGGUAGUGGCUUACCAAGGCUUUGACGGGUAGCCGGGCUGAGAGGGUGACCGGCCACAUUGGGACUGAGAUACGGCCCAGACUCCUACGGGAGGCAGCAGUGGGGAAUAUUGCACAAUGGGCGGAAGCCUGAUGCAGCAACGCCGCGUGCGGGAUGACGGCCUUCGGGUUGUAAACCGCUUUCGCCUGUGACGAAGCGUGAGUGACGGUAAUGGGUAAAGAAGCACCGGCUAACUACGU
Molecule: ribosomal RNA, 467 nt
Filed under: uncultured bacterium
Lineage: Bacteria
Description: partial 16S ribosomal RNA
Rfam family: Bacterial small subunit ribosomal RNA
Source: RNAcentral